RNAcentral lists this ribosomal RNA (254 nucleotides) under uncultured bacterium. RNAcentral describes it as "partial small subunit ribosomal RNA". It matches the Rfam family "Bacterial small subunit ribosomal RNA", at positions 26 to 285 of the family's 1533-position model. The record is from RNAcentral.
AGGACGAACGCUGGCGGCGUGCUUAACACAUGCAAGUCGAGCGGAAAGGCCCUUCGGGGUACUCAAGCGGCGAACGGGUGAGUAACACGUGAGUAACCUGCCCCUAGCUCUGGGAUAGCUCCGGGAAACCGGGAUUAAUACCAGAUACGACCACUUUAGACAUCUGUCGUGGUGGAAAGGAUUCCGGCUAGGGAUGGGCUCGCGGCCUAUCAGCUAGUUGGUGGAGUAACGGCCCACCAAGGCGACGACGGGUA